This 421-nucleotide ribosomal RNA is filed under the name uncultured rumen bacterium. Its description in RNAcentral is "bacterial SSU rRNA". It matches the Rfam family "Bacterial small subunit ribosomal RNA", at positions 354 to 776 of the family's 1533-position model. The record is from RNAcentral.
GUGGGGAAUAUUGCACAAUGGGGGAAACCCUGAUGCAGCGACGCCGCGUGAGUGAAGAAGUAUUUCGGUAUGUAAAGCUCUAUCAGCAGGGAAGAAAGGCUCCGCAAGGAGAGAUGACGGUACCUGAGUAAGAAGCCCCGGCUAACUACGUGCCAGCAGCCGCGGUAAUACGUAGGGGGCAAGCGUUAUCCGGAUUUACUGGGUGUAAAGGGAGCGCAGACGGCAGCGCAAGUCAGAAGUGAAACCCCCGGGCUCACCCCGGGGCCUGCUUUUGAAACUGUGCAGCUAGAGUGCAGGAAGGGCAAGCGGAAUUCCUAGUGUAGCGGUGAAAUGCGUAGAUAUUAGGAGGAACACCGGUGGCGAAGGCGGCUUGCUGGACUGUAACUGACGUUGAGGCUCGAAGGCGUGGGGAGCAAACAGG